Molecule: ribosomal RNA, 1438 nt
Filed under: uncultured organism
Description: 16S ribosomal RNA
Rfam family: Bacterial small subunit ribosomal RNA
Source: RNAcentral
GGCGGCGUGCUUAACACAUGCAAGUCGAACGGAAAGGCCCUGCUUUUGUGGGGUGCUCGAGUGGCGAACGGGUGAGUAACACGUGAGUAACCUGCCCUUGACUUUGGGAUAACUUCAGGAAACUGGGGCUAAUACCGGAUAGGAGCUCCUGCUGCAUGGUGGGGGUUGGAAAGUUUCGGCGGUUGGGGAUGGACUCGCGGCUUAUCAGCUUGUUGGUGGGGUAGUGGCUUACCAAGGCUUUGACGGGUAGCCGGCCUGAGAGGGUGACCGGCCACAUUGGGACUGAGAUACGGCCCAGACUCCUACGGGAGGCAGCAGUGGGGAAUAUUGCACAAUGGGCGGAAGCCUGAUGCAGCAACGCCGCGUGCGGGAUGACGGCCUUCGGGUUGUAAACCGCUUUCGCCUGUGACGAAGCGUGAGUGACGGUAAUGGGUAAAGAAGCACCGGCUAACUACGUGCCAGCAGCCGCGGUGAUACGUAGGGUGCGAGCGUUGUCCGGAUUUAUUGGGCGUAAAGGGCUCGUAGGUGGUUGAUCGCGUCGGAAGUGUAAUCUUGGGGCUUAACCCUGAGCGUGCUUUCGAUACGGGUUGACUUGAGGAAGGUAGGGGAGAAUGGAAUUCCUGGUGGAGCGGUGGAAUGCGCAGAUAUCAGGAGGAACACCAGUGGCGAAGGCGGUUCUCUGGGCCUUUCCUGACGCUGAGGAGCGAAAGCGUGGGGAGCGAACAGGCUUAGAUACCCUGGUAGUCCACGCUGUAAACGGUGGGUACUAGGUGUGGGGUCCAUUCCACGGGUUCCGUGCCGUAGCUAACGCUUUAAGUACCCCGCCUGGGGAGUACGGCCGCAAGGCUAAAACUCAAAGGAAUUGACGGGGCCCCGCACAAGCGGCGGAGCAUGCGGAUUAAUUCGAUGCAACGCGUAGAACCUUACCUGGGUUUGACAUGGAUCGGGAGUGCUCAGAGAUGGGUGUGCCUCUUUUGGGGUCGGUUCACAGGUGGUGCAUGGCUGUCGUCAGCUCGUGUCGUGAGAUGUUGGGUUAAGUCCCGCAACGAGCGCAACCCUUGUUCACUGUUGCCAGCACGUUAUGGUGGGGACUCAGCGGAGACCGCCGGGGUCAACUCGGAGGAAGGUGGGAUGACGUCAAGUCAUCAUGCCCCUUAUGUCCAGGGCUUCACGCAUGCUACAAUGGCUGGUACAGAGAGUGGCGAGCCUGUGAGGGUGAGCGAAUCUCGGAAAGCCGGUCUCAGUUCGGAUUGGGGUCUGCAACUCGACCUCAUGAAGUCGGAGUCGCUAGUAAUCGCAGAUCAGCAACGCUGCGGUGAAUACGUUCCCGGGGCUUGUACACACCGCCCGUCAAGUCAUGAAAGUUGGUAACACCCGAAGCCGGUGGCCUAACCGUUGUGGGGGAGCCGUCGAAGGUGGGACUGGUGAUUAGGACUAA